This is a non-coding RNA of Pelodiscus sinensis (Chinese soft-shelled turtle), 1308 nucleotides long. The record is from RefSeq and is a predicted model, not a curated record. NCBI's taxonomy places the organism in Eukaryota, Metazoa, Chordata, Testudines, Trionychidae.
UGGGUUGUCCCAGGGGAGGGACAAAAAUGUGACUUGUAAUAGCUUGAGUUGAUUUCAUUUUUCCGUGUCGGAUCCCCAUCCCUGGCUUCAUUGAACUCAGCUACUGGGUUACCAAUUACCACCCCUUCAAGUUUUCUAACAACUCAGGGUACUUUUUCUGAUCUCCUGCUGGUACAGAUAAGAACAAAUGCCACUGAAGCUGGUGGAAUUACACAGCUGCACUACUGGUAUAAGUAGAAAGCACAGCAGCUGUUGCUAAUGAAAAUGCAUUGGGGCAUCAUUUCCUACUCACAGGCGGAUAGAAGUUUUUGCUGGUCAAGGAGAUUCAUUUGGAUUAUGAAAGUCUCAGAUUACAGAAGGCACUGACAAUACAGUAAAUGAGUAUCGUGGGACAUGAACCUGUUUUGGAUAAAUGUGAUUCAGAUGAUGAGCCGGAUUUGGAAGUCCAUUUCCAUGCAAUUUCUUAGCAAACCUCUGACUGCAGCUUCCAGCUGCAGCCAAAGCAGAACCCAAGAGUACAGAAAGGCCAACAGAGCCCCUUCCUCAGAAAUAACAGCACAACAUUUACAUCUGUUGUUACUCUGGAGAGAGCAGAGAUGGGCCUGAACCAAAACCCAGCCUCACAUUCCUUCCUUCUGUGAACUUUAGAGAAGUUUGGAUCCACAUCGAGUCCAGUCUUUAACCAGACGAAACGAAGCCCCCACAUCUAAACUCCUCUGAAAUCCUGGAACGCUGAGAUUUGGAUCCCAACAUUGCCCUGUGGGCUCAUCUCUACUCUUCCCCCUUAGCCAAUGGAAAAGAGAGAAAGUUGAGAUCAUCCUGUUGGCAGAGCUGUUUUCUGUCCUUUGACUGAGAAGAGGAAGGAAUGGAGGCUGUGAAAUCAAGAGAAUUUGAUCCAGCAGUGCCCUUAAGCAGACAAGCACCUAAUGUAGGAAGCAGAAUUUCCUGCAACAACCAGUGUUAGCAAAAAAAUGAAAACCAGUGAGAGCCAGAAGUAGUCAUGGAGCAUUAAGCAGGUAAACCCAUUAAAAGGGACCAUCUCUUUCCAUUGGGAUUAUAGUGACAUUUAAGCCUUUGCUUCCUGAUUUUGAGCGCUGAGUGUUUUUGGAGGAGUGUAAUGGCUAUUAGCAGACUCCUCCUUCCUUUCUUCCUCUUUUGGGACUUAAAGCCAGGAACUGGGAUGCACAUCUGAACAUGAAGUGGCCGGCAGAGUUGCCAAAGAUAUCCCCGCUAGCCAGAACAAAUGUGUGCAUGUGCUUAGAAAUAGUACGGUGGAGACAAACUUCUAGAGCGAGCAAAGACACAAAA